Molecule: unclassified non-coding RNA, 308 nt
Filed under: plant metagenome
Description: partial contains 5.8S ribosomal RNA, internal transcribed spacer 2, and large subunit ribosomal RNA
Rfam family: 5.8S ribosomal RNA (bases 1-105)
Source: RNAcentral
GAAAUGCGAUAAGUAGUGUGAAUUGCAGAAUUCAGUGAAUCAUCGAAUCUUUAAACGCACAUUGCGCCCUUUGGUAUUCCAAAGGGCAUGCCUGUUCGAGCGUCAUUUGUACCCUCAAGCUUUGCUUGGUGUUGGGCGUCUUGUCUCUAGCUUUGCUGGAGACUCGCCUUAAAGUAAUUGGCAGCCGGCCUACUGGUUUCGGAGCGCAGCACAAGUCGCACUCUCUAUCAGCAAAGGUCUAGCAUCCAUUAAGCCUUUUUUUCAACUUUUGACCUCGGAUCAGGUAGGGAUACCCGCUGAACUUAAGC